AUAAGUCAGCGGUGAAAGUUUGCAGCUUAACUGUAAAAAUGCCGUUGAAACUGUCGGACUUGAGUGUAAAUGAGGUAGGCGGAAUGCGUGGUGUAGCGGUGAAAUGCAUAGAUAUCACGCAGAACUCCGAUUGCGAAGGCAGCUUACUAAGCUACAACUGACACUGAAGCACGAAAGCGUGGGGAUCAAACAGGAUUAGAUACCCUGGUAGUCCACGCAGUAAACGAUGAUUACUAGCUGUUUGCGAUACACAGUAAGCGGCACAGCGAAAGCGUUAAGUAAUCCACCUGGGGAGUACGCCGGCAACGGUGAAACUCAAAGGAAUUGACGGGGGCCCGCACAAGCGGAGGAACAUGUGGUUUAAUUCGAUGAUACGCGAGGAACCUUACCCGGGUUUGAACGUAGGGAGACAGGGGUGGAAACAUCCUUUUCAGCAAUGACUGCCUACGAGGUGCUGCAUGGUUGUCGUCAGCUCGUGCCGUGAGGUGUCGGCUUAAGUGCCAUAACGAGCGCAACCCUUAUUUCCAGUUACUAACAGGUGAUGCUGAGGACUCUGGAGAGACUGCCAGCGUAAGCUGUGAGGAAGGUGGGGAUGACGUCAAAUCAGCACGGCCCUUACAUCCGGGGCGACACACGUGUUACAAUGGUAAGGACAAAGGGCAGCUACCGGGCGACCGGAUGCGAAUCUCUAAACCUUAUCUCAGUUCGGAUCGGAGUCUGCAACUCGACUCCGUGAAGCUGGAUUCGCUAGUAAUCGCGCAUCAGCCAUGGCGCGGUGAAUACGUUCCCGGGCCUUGUACUCACCGCCCG
This 810-nucleotide ribosomal RNA is filed under the name uncultured bacterium. RNAcentral describes it as "bacterial SSU rRNA". It matches the Rfam family "Bacterial small subunit ribosomal RNA", at positions 583 to 1396 of the family's 1533-position model. The record is from RNAcentral.